RNAcentral lists this transfer RNA (73 nucleotides) under Felis catus (domestic cat). It matches the Rfam family "tRNA". Rfam says of the family: Transfer RNA (tRNA) molecules are approximately 80 nucleotides in length. Their secondary structure includes four short double-helical elements and three loops (D, anti-codon, and T loops). Further hydrogen bonds mediate the characteristic L-shaped molecular structure. tRNAs have two regions of fundamental functional importance: the anti-codon, which is responsible for specific mRNA codon recognition, and the 3' end, to which the tRNAs corresponding amino acid is attached (by aminoacyl-tRNA synthetases). tRNAs cope with the degeneracy of the genetic code in two manners: having more than one tRNA (with a specific anti-codon) for a particular amino acid; and 'wobble' base-pairing, i.e. permitting non-standard base-pairing at the 3rd anti-codon position. Lineage: Eukaryota; Metazoa; Chordata; Mammalia; Carnivora; Felidae. RNAcentral also lists the same sequence under 2 other names. The record is from Rfam by way of RNAcentral.
ACCUGGCUGGCUCAGUCGGUGGAGCAUGAGACUCUUGAUCUUGGGGUUGUGAGUUUGAGCCCCAUGCUGAGUG